RNAcentral lists this ribosomal RNA (477 nucleotides) under bacterium 1611-S4-05-3. RNAcentral describes it as "bacterial SSU rRNA". It matches the Rfam family "Bacterial small subunit ribosomal RNA", at positions 59 to 516 of the family's 1533-position model. The record is from RNAcentral.
CAGUCGAGCGGAACGAGUUAUCUGAACCUUCGGGGAACGAUAACGGCGUCGAGCGGCGGACGGGUGAGUAAUGCCUAGGAAAUUGCCCUGAUGUGGGGGAUAACCAUUGGAAACGAUGGCUAAUACCGCAUAAUACCUUCGGGUCAAAGAGGGGGACCUUCGGGCCUCUCGCGUCAGGAUAUGCCUAGGUGGGAUUAGCUAGUUGGUGAGGUAAUGGCUCACCAAGGCGACGAUCCCUAGCUGGUCUGAGAGGAUGAUCAGCCACACUGGAACUGAGACACGGUCCAGACUCCUACGGGAGGCAGCAGUGGGGAAUAUUGCACAAUGGGCGCAAGCCUGAUGCAGCCAUGCCGCGUGUGUGAAGAAGGCCUUCGGGUUGUAAAGCACUUUCAGUCGUGAGGAAGGUAGUGUAGUUAAUAGCUGCAUUAUUUGACGUUAGCGACAGAAGAAGCACCGGCUAACUCCGUGCCAGCAGCC